CUGAGAGGAAGGUCCCCCACAUUGGAACUGAGACACGGUCCAAACUCCUACGGGAGGCAGCAGUGAGUAAUAUUGGUCAAUGGGCGGGAGCCUGAACCAGCCAAGUAGGGUGAAGGAAGACUCCCCUAUGGGUGUAAACUUAUUUUAUGAAGGAAUAAAACGGGCCACGUGUGGCCUUUUGCAUGUACCUUAUGAAUAAGGAUCG
This 205-nucleotide ribosomal RNA is filed under the name uncultured Bacteroides sp. RNAcentral describes it as "partial 16S ribosomal RNA". It matches the Rfam family "Bacterial small subunit ribosomal RNA", at positions 292 to 495 of the family's 1533-position model. Lineage: Bacteria; Pseudomonadati; Bacteroidota; Bacteroidia; Bacteroidales; Bacteroidaceae. The record is from RNAcentral.